GAUGAACGCUAGCGACAGGCCUAACACAUGCAAGUCGAGGGGCAUCGGGACGUAGCAAUACGUUGCCGGCGACCGGCGGAUGGGUGAGUAACGCGUAUGCAACCUACCCGUAGCAGGGGGAUAGCCCGUUGAAAGACGGAUUAAUACCCCGUAACAACAGGGGCUCCGCAUGGAGAUUAUUGUUAAAGGGUCAUUUCUUUUAGAGGUGGUCCGGCUGCGGAUGGGCAUGCGUUCCAUUAGGUAGUUGGUGUAGGUAACGGCUCACCAAGCCGACGAUGGAUAGGGGAACUGAGAGGUUGGUCCCCCACACUGGUACUGAGACACGGACCAGACUCCUACGGGAGGCAGCAGUGAGGAAUCUUGGUCAAUGGACGCAAGUCUGAACCAGCCAUGUCGCGUGAAGGAGGACGGCCCUAAGGGUUGUAAACUUCUUUUGCAGCGGAAUAAAGUUUGCCACGAGUUGGCGAUUUGCAAGUACGCUGCGAAUAAGGAUCGGCUAACUCCGUG
This 507-nucleotide ribosomal RNA is filed under the name uncultured bacterium. RNAcentral describes it as "bacterial SSU rRNA". It matches the Rfam family "Bacterial small subunit ribosomal RNA", at positions 28 to 507 of the family's 1533-position model. The record is from RNAcentral.